RNAcentral lists this ribosomal RNA (110 nucleotides) under Nitrososphaera sp. RNAcentral's name for it is "partial 16S ribosomal RNA". It matches the Rfam family "Archaeal small subunit ribosomal RNA", at positions 1 to 95 of the family's 1478-position model. The record is from RNAcentral. RNAcentral also lists the same sequence under 1 other name. Lineage: Archaea; Thermoproteati; Nitrososphaerota; Nitrososphaeria; Nitrososphaerales; Nitrososphaeraceae.
GUACUCUUGACUCCGGUUGAUCCUACCGGACCCGACUGCUAUCGGAGUGGGGCUAAGCCAUGCGAGUCGAACGUUUCCCAACUGUGGGAAGCGUGGCGAACGGCUCAGUA